RNAcentral lists this ribosomal RNA (292 nucleotides) under uncultured bacterium. RNAcentral's name for it is "partial 16S ribosomal RNA". It matches the Rfam family "Bacterial small subunit ribosomal RNA", at positions 505 to 796 of the family's 1533-position model. The record is from RNAcentral.
GUGCCAGCAGCCGCGGUAAUACAGAGACUGCAAGCGUUAUUCGGAUUCACUGGGCGUAAAGGGUGCGCAGGCGGCCAGGUGUGUCAGGUGUGAAAGCCCGGAGCUUAACUCCGGAAUUGCGCCUGAAACUACUUGGCUAGAGCAUUGGAGAGGGUAGCGGAAUUCACGGUGUAGCAGUGAAAUGCGUAGAUAUCGUGAGGAACACCAGAGGCGAAGGCGGCUACCUGGACAAUUGCUGACGCUCAGGCACGAAAGCGUGGGGAGCAAAAGGGAUUAGAUACCCCAGUAGUCC